AUACGUAGGGGGCGAGCGUUGUCCGGAAUGAUUGGGCGUAAAGGGCGCGUAGGCGGCCCGGUAAGUCUGGAGUGAAAGUCCUGUUUUUAAGAUGGGAAUUGCUUUGGAUACUGUCGGGCUUGAGUGCAGGAGAGGUAAGUGGAAUUCCCAGUGUAGCGGUGAAAUGCGUAGAGAUUGGGAGGAACACCAGUGGCGAAGGCGACUUACUGGACUGUAACUGACGCUGAGGCGCGAAAGUGUGGGGAGCAAACAGGAUUAGAUGCCCUGGUAGUCCACACUGUAAACGAUGAAUGCUAGGUGUAGGGGGUAUCGACCCCUUCUGUGCCGCAGUCAACACAAUAAGCAUUCCGCCUGGGGAGUACGGCCGCAAGGUUGAAACUCAAAUGAAUUGUCGGGG
RNAcentral lists this ribosomal RNA (397 nucleotides) under uncultured bacterium. RNAcentral describes it as "partial 16S ribosomal RNA". It matches the Rfam family "Bacterial small subunit ribosomal RNA", at positions 523 to 918 of the family's 1533-position model. The record is from RNAcentral.